Molecule: ribosomal RNA, 797 nt
Filed under: uncultured archaeon
Lineage: Archaea
Description: bacterial SSU rRNA
Rfam family: Archaeal small subunit ribosomal RNA
Source: RNAcentral
UACGGCCAGUAACACGUGGAUAACCUGCCCUUGGGUCCGGCAUAACCCCGGGAAACUGGGGAUAAUUCCGGAUAACGCACAUAUGCUGGAAUGCUUUAUGCGUAAAAUGGAUACGUCUGCCCAAGGAUGGGUCUGCGGCCUAUCAGGUAGUAGUGGGUGUAAUGUACCUACUACCCUACAACGGGUACGGGUUGUGAGAGCAAGAGCCCGGAGAUGGAUUCUGAGGCAUGAAUCCAGGCCCUACGGGGCGCAGCAGGCGCGAAAACUUUACAAUGCGGGAAACCGUGAUAAGGGGACACCGAGUGCCAGCAUCAUAUGCUGGCUGUCCAGGUGUGUAAAAUACACCUGUUAGCAAGGGCCGGGCAAGACCGGUGCCAGCCGCCGCGGUAACACCGGCGGCCCGAGUGGUGAUCGUGAUUAUUGGGUCUAAAGGGUCCGUAGCCGGUUUGGUCAGUCCUCCGGGAAAUCUGACGGCUCAACCGUUAGGCUUUCGGGGGAUACUGCCAGGCUUGGAACCGGGAGAGGUAAGAGGUACUACAGGGGUAGGAGUGAAAUCUUGUAAUCCCUGUGGGACCACCUGUGGCGAAGGCGUCUUACCAGAACGGGUUCGACGGUGAGGGACGAAAGCUGGGGGCACGAACCGGAUUAGAUACCCGGGUAGUCCCAGCCGUAAACGAUGCUCGCUAGGUGUCAGGCAUGGCGCGACCGUGUCUGGUGCCGCAGGGAAGCCGUGAAGCGAGCCACCUGGGAAGUACGGCCGCAAGGCUGAAACUUAAAGGAAUUGGCGGGGGAGCACA